Molecule: ribosomal RNA, 433 nt
Filed under: uncultured bacterium
Lineage: Bacteria
Description: partial 16S ribosomal RNA
Rfam family: Bacterial small subunit ribosomal RNA
Source: RNAcentral
AACGAACGCUGGCGGCAUGCCUAACACAUGCAAGUCGAACGAGACCUUCGGGUCUAGUGGCGCACGGGUGCGUAACGCGUGGGAACCUGCACUUAGGUUCGGCAUAACUCCCCGAAAGGGGUGCUAAUACCGGAUAAUGUCUUCGGACCAAAGAUUUAUCGCCUUUGGAUGGGCCCGCGUUGGAUUAGCUAGUUGGUAGGGUAAAAGCCUACCAAGGCGACGAUCCAUAGCUGGUCUGAGAGGAUGAUCAGCCACACUGAGACUGAGACACGGCCCAGACUCCUACGGGAGGCGGGAGUGGCGAAUGUUGGAAAAUGGGGGAAGGCCUGAAGCAGCAAGGCCGGGUGAGUGAUGAAGGCCUUAGGGUUGUAAAGCUCUUUUAACCGGGAUGAUAAUGACAGUACCGGGAGAAUAAGCCCCGGCUAACUCCGUG